CCUACGGGAGGCAGCAGUGGGGAAUUUUGGACAAUGGGCGAAAGCCUGAUCCAGCAAUGCCGCGUGAGUGAAGAAGGCCUUCGGGUUGUAAAGCUCUUUUGUCAGGGAAGAAACGGUGAAAGCUAAUAUCUUUUGCUAAUGACGGUACCUGAAGAAUAAGCACCGGCUAACUACGUGCCAGCAGCCGCGGUAAUACGUAGGGUGCAAGCGUUAAUCGGAAUUACUGGGCGUAAAGCGUGCGCAGGCGGUUUUGUAAGUCUGAUGUGAAAUCCCCGGGCUCAACCUGGGAAUUGCAUUGGAGACUGCAAGGCUAGAAUCUGGCAGAGGGGGGUAGAAUUCCACGUGUAGCAGUGAAAUGCGUAGAUAUGUGGAGGAACACCGAUGGCGAAGGCAGCCCCCUGGGUCAAGAUUGACGCUCAUGCACGAAAGCGUGGGGAGCAAACAGGAUUAGAUACCCUGGUAGUCCACGCCCUAAACGAUGUCUACUAGUUGUCGGGUCUUAAUUGACUUGGUAACGCAGCUAACGCGUGAAGUAGACCGCCUGGGGAGUACGGUGCAAGAUUAAAACUCAAAGGAUUGACGG
This 583-nucleotide ribosomal RNA is filed under the name uncultured bacterium. Its description in RNAcentral is "bacterial SSU rRNA". It matches the Rfam family "Bacterial small subunit ribosomal RNA", at positions 338 to 916 of the family's 1533-position model. The record is from RNAcentral.